Small nuclear RNA from Peromyscus maniculatus bairdii (prairie deer mouse), 104 nucleotides. The record is from Ensembl. Lineage: Eukaryota; Metazoa; Chordata; Mammalia; Rodentia; Cricetidae.
AUGCUCUAUUUGGCAGCAGAUACACUAAAAUCGGAAUGAUACAGAGAUUAGCAUGGCCCCUGCACAAGGAUGACACAGGAAUUAAUGAAUUGUUCCAUAUUUAA